This 1707-nucleotide ribosomal RNA is filed under the name Escherichia coli. RNAcentral describes it as "bacterial LSU rRNA". It matches the Rfam family "Bacterial large subunit ribosomal RNA", at positions 1252 to 2925 of the family's 2925-position model. Lineage: Bacteria; Pseudomonadati; Pseudomonadota; Gammaproteobacteria; Enterobacterales; Enterobacteriaceae. The record is from RNAcentral. RNAcentral also lists the same sequence under 1 other name.
GAAGGUGUGCUGUGAGGCAUGCUGGAGGUAUCAGAAGUGCGAAUGCUGACAUAAGUAACGAUAAAGCGGGUGAAAAGCCCGCUCGCCGGAAGACCAAGGGUUCCUGUCCAACGUUAAUCGGGGCAGGGUGAGUCGACCCCUAAGGCGAGGCCGAAAGGCGUAGUCGAUGGGAAACAGGUUAAUAUUCCUGUACUUGGUGUUACUGCGAAGGGGGGACGGAGAAGGCUAUGUUGGCCGGGCGACGGUUGUCCCGGUUUAAGCGUGUAGGCUGGUUUUCCAGGCAAAUCCGGAAAAUCAAGGCUGAGGCGUGAUGACGAGGCACUACGGUGCUGAAGCAACAAAUGCCCUGCUUCCAGGAAAAGCCUCUAAGCAUCAGGUAACAUCAAAUCGUACCCCAAACCGACACAGGUGGUCAGGUAGAGAAUACCAAGGCGCUUGAGAGAACUCGGGUGAAGGAACUAGGCAAAAUGGUGCCGUAACUUCGGGAGAAGGCACGCUGAUAUGUAGGUGAAGUCCCUCGCGGAUGGAGCUGAAAUCAGUCGAAGAUACCAGCUGGCUGCAACUGUUUAUUAAAAACACAGCACUGUGCAAACACGAAAGUGGACGUAUACGGUGUGACGCCUGCCCGGUGCCGGAAGGUUAAUUGAUGGGGUUAGCCGCAAGGCGAAGCUCUUGAUCGAAGCCCCGGUAAACGGCGGCCGUAACUAUAACGGUCCUAAGGUAGCGAAAUUCCUUGUCGGGUAAGUUCCGACCUGCACGAAUGGCGUAAUGAUGGCCAGGCUGUCUCCACCCGAGACUCAGUGAAAUUGAACUCGCUGUGAAGAUGCAGUGUACCCGCGGCAAGACGGAAAGACCCCGUGAACCUUUACUAUAGCUUGACACUGAACAUUGAGCCUUGAUGUGUAGGAUAGGUGGGAGGCUUAGAAGUGUGGACGCCAGUCUGCAUGGAGCCGACCUUGAAAUACCACCCUUUAAUGUUUGAUGUUCUAACGUUGACCCGUAAUCCGGGUUGCGGACAGUGUCUGGUGGGUAGUUUGACUGGGGCGGUCUCCUCCUAAAGAGUAACGGAGGAGCACGAAGGUUGGCUAAUCCUGGUCGGACAUCAGGAGGUUAGUGCAAUGGCAUAAGCCAGCUUGACUGCGAGCGUGACGGCGCGAGCAGGUGCGAAAGCAGGUCAUAGUGAUCCGGUGGUUCUGAAUGGAAGGGCCAUCGCUCAACGGAUAAAAGGUACUCCGGGGAUAACAGGCUGAUACCGCCCAAGAGUUCAUAUCGACGGCGGUGUUUGGCACCUCGAUGUCGGCUCAUCACAUCCUGGGGCUGAAGUAGGUCCCAAGGGUAUGGCUGUUCGCCAUUUAAAGUGGUACGCGAGCUGGGUUUAGAACGUCGUGAGACAGUUCGGUCCCUAUCUGCCGUGGGCGCUGGAGAACUGAGGGGGGCUGCUCCUAGUACGAGAGGACCGGAGUGGACGCAUCACUGGUGUUCGGGUUGUCAUGCCAAUGGCACUGCCCGGUAGCUAAAUGCGGAAGAGAUAAGUGCUGAAAGCAUCUAAGCACGAAACUUGCCCCGAGAUGAGUUCUCCCUGACUCCUUGAGAGUCCUGAAGGAACGUUGAAGACGACGACGUUGAUAGGCCGGGUGUGUAAGCGCAGCGAUGCGUUGAGCUAACCGGUACUAAUGAACCGUGAGGCUUAACCUUACAACGCCGAAG